CCUACGGGAGGCAGCAGUAAGGAAUAUUGCGCAAUGGACGAAAGUCUGACGCAGCAACGCCGCGUGUAGGAUGAAGGCUCUUUGAGUCGUAAACUACUGUAGCAGGGGAAUAAUACUUCGCUUUGCGAAGGGAGAAGGUACCCUGAAAGUAAGCCACGGCUAACUACGUGCCAGCAGCCGCGGUAAUACGUAGGUGGCAAGCGUUGUCCGGAUUUACUGGGUGUAAAGGGUGCGCAGGCGGAUCUGUAAGUCAGAGGUGAAAUCUCACAGCUUAACUGUGAAACUGCCUUUGAUACUGCAGAUCUUGAGUUCGGGAGAGGUUGAUGGAAUUCCAGGUGUAGCGGUGAAAUGCGUAGAUAUCUGGAAGAACACCAGUGGCGAAGGCGGUCAACUGGCCCGUAACUGACGCUCAGGCACGAAAGCGUGGGUAGCAAACAGGAUUAGAUACCCUGGUAGUCCACGCCCUAAACGAUGAAUACUUGGUGUUGGUCUUAAUUGAUCAGUGCCGUAGGUAACCUGUUAAGUAUUCCACCUGGGGAGUACGCUCGCAAGAGUGAAACUCAAAGGAAUUGACGG
This 576-nucleotide ribosomal RNA is filed under the name uncultured bacterium. RNAcentral's name for it is "bacterial SSU rRNA". It matches the Rfam family "Bacterial small subunit ribosomal RNA", at positions 338 to 916 of the family's 1533-position model. The record is from RNAcentral.